GUGGGGAAUAUUGGACAAUGGGCGCAAGCCUGAUCCAGCCAUGCCGCGUGAGUGAUGAAGGCCCUAGGGUUGUAAAGCUCUUUCACUGGUGAAGAUAAUGACGGUAACCGGAGAAGAAGCCCCGGCUAACUUCGUGCCAGCAGCCGCGGUAAUACGAAGGGGGCUAGCGUUGUUCGGAAUUACUGGGCGUAAAGCGCACGUAGGCGGACAUUUAAGUCAGGGGUGAAAUCCCGGGGCUCAACCCCGGAACUGCCUUUGAUACUGGGUGUCUGGAGUAUGGAAGAGGUAAGUGGAAUUCCGAGUGUAGAGGUGAAAUUCGUAGAUAUUCGGAGGAACACCAGUGGCGAAGGCGGCUUACUGGUCCAUUACUGACGCUGAGGUGCGAAAGCGUGGGGAGCAAACAGGAUUAGAUACCCUAGUAGUCC
Molecule: ribosomal RNA, 425 nt
Filed under: uncultured bacterium
Lineage: Bacteria
Description: partial 16S ribosomal RNA
Rfam family: Bacterial small subunit ribosomal RNA
Source: RNAcentral